Molecule: unclassified non-coding RNA, 841 nt
Filed under: Cyperus isolepis
Lineage: Eukaryota; Viridiplantae; Streptophyta; Magnoliopsida; Poales; Cyperaceae
Description: partial contains rpl32 gene (partial), rpl32-trnL IGS and trnL gene (partial)
Source: RNAcentral
AAGGAUAUUUAAUUGCAGUAAAAGCCUCUUCUUUAGCAAAAUCACUUUNUAUUGGAAAUUCAAAAAGUUUUUUGAAACAAAAACCAAAUAAAAGAGUUUUUGGUUUUUAUGUAUUUCUACAAUAAUGCUAAUAAAAAACUAGCUUUCAAAUAAAUAACUAAUUUUACAUUAAUUUAAUUCUUAUUUUUAAGAGAUUAAUUUUUAUUAAUUUAGUUAGUUAAAUUUUAGUUAAGAUUAGACUUUAAUUAGAACUAUAAAUUAUAUAUAAUUCAUAUUAUUUUUAAUUAUAAAAAAAAUAUCUAUAUCUUAGGAUUUCAAUUACUUAAUUAAGUAACAAUUUACUUAUUAAUAAACUUUUCACAAUAGAAGAAAAUCUUUUCUUCUAUUGUGAAAAGUUUAAUAGAACUUAAAUUUAAUUUGAGAUUUAAAUAUUUCCUAUCUUAUAUAUAUUUUUUAAAAAUUAAAAAAAAAAGAAUUUAUAAUUUACNGUUAAUUUUAAUAUUAACAAUUAAAAAAAGAUAAAUGAUAAAAAACUUUGCAUUUNUUUUUUUUUUUNAUUCUACUAGAAUAUUAAUAAAUAAAAAAGACUAAAUUCUUUUUGUUUUUUGUAAUUUUUUUAAAUUAAAUAUUAAAAAAAAUAAUUUUUCUUCCGUAUCAUUAUUGAUACGGAAAAUAAGAUAAAUGAUAAAGAAAUAGUAAGUUUUAUAAAAAAAGUAAGAUUUUGCCAUUGAGGAUGUGAAAAUAAAAUGAAAAAAAAUCUUUUCUCUUUAUCCAUUCUANANUNUCNNAUUUCAAAUANAAAUUUUUGAAUCUUGACGANUUAAACAUGAANUUGGCUUAU